GGGCCGGUAGCUCAGCUUGGUGGAGCACCUGACUUUUAAUCAGGUGGUCGCGUGUUCAAAACUAAUACUGUGUUUCAGUGUUUGUGUAUAUCACGUCCGGCCCG
RNAcentral lists this transfer RNA (104 nucleotides) under Candidatus Woesearchaeota archaeon. RNAcentral describes it as "tRNA-Lys". It matches the Rfam family "tRNA". From Rfam's summary of the family: Transfer RNA (tRNA) molecules are approximately 80 nucleotides in length. Their secondary structure includes four short double-helical elements and three loops (D, anti-codon, and T loops). Lineage: Archaea; Nanobdellati; Candidatus Woesearchaeota. The record is from RNAcentral.